AGCGAAUAGAUACCCAGGUAGUCCAUGCUGUAAACGAUGAGAACUAGAUGUUAGGGGCAUGACCUCUUAGUAUCGAAGCUAACGCGAUAAGUUCUCCGCCUGGGGAGUACGGCCGCAAGGUUAAAACUCAAAGAAAUUGACGGGGGCCCGCACAAGCGGUGGAGCAUGUGGUUUAAUUCGAUGCAACGCGAAGAACCUUACCUACCUUUGAAUCCACGGAACCUAGCAGAGAUGUUGGGGUGCCUUCGGGAGCCGUGAGACAGGUGCUGCAUGGCUGUCGUCAGCUCGUGUCGUGAGAUGUUGGGUUAAGUCCCGUAACGAGCGCAACCCUUGUCCUUAGUCGCCAUCAGGUUAUGCUGGGCACUUUAAGGAGACUGCCGGUGAUAAACCGGAGGAAGGUGGGGAUGACGUCAAGUCCUCAUGGCCCCUUACAGGUAGGGCUACACACGUGCUACAAUGGGCAGUACAGAGGGAAGCCAACCCGCGAGGGGAGCGAAUCUCAUAAAGCUGUUCGUAGUCCGGAUUGGAGUCUGCAAC
RNAcentral lists this ribosomal RNA (537 nucleotides) under uncultured bacterium. RNAcentral describes it as "bacterial SSU rRNA". It matches the Rfam family "Bacterial small subunit ribosomal RNA", at positions 771 to 1311 of the family's 1533-position model. The record is from RNAcentral.